CCUACGGGGGGCAGCAGUGGGGAAUUUUGGACAAUGGGCGAAAGCCUGAUCCAGCAAUGCCGCGUGCAGGACGAAGGCCUUCGGGUUGUAAACUGCUUUUGUACGGAACGAAAAAGUCUUUUCUAAUAAAGAAGGCUCAUGACGGUACCGUAAGAAUAAGCACCGGCUAACUACGUGCCAGCAGCCGCGGUAAUACGUAGGGUGCAAGCGUUAAUCGGAAUUACUGGGCGUAAAGCGUGCGCAGGCGGUUAUAUAAGACAGAUGUGAAAUCCCCGGGCUCAACCUGGGACCUGCAUUUGUGACUGUAUAGCUAGAGUACGGUAGAGGGGGAUGGAAUUCCGCGUGUAGCAGUGAAAUGCGUAGAUAUGCGGAGGAACACCGAUGGCGAAGGCAAUCCCCUGGACCUGUACUGACGCUCAUGCACGAAAGCGUGGGGAGCAAACAGGAUUAGAUACCCCGGUAGUC
This 465-nucleotide ribosomal RNA is filed under the name uncultured bacterium. RNAcentral's name for it is "bacterial SSU rRNA". It matches the Rfam family "Bacterial small subunit ribosomal RNA", at positions 338 to 795 of the family's 1533-position model. The record is from RNAcentral.